RNAcentral lists this long non-coding RNA (2808 nucleotides) under Takifugu rubripes (torafugu). Its description in RNAcentral is "lncRNA (ENSTRUG00000028619.1)". The record is from RNAcentral. Lineage: Eukaryota; Metazoa; Chordata; Actinopteri; Tetraodontiformes; Tetraodontidae.
GUGGAUGUUUGAUGCAGUAAUCCCUAAUAUUCACUGACAAUGCCUGUGUCGCACUGCUCGAUGAUUCUGGAGUGAACAACGGCGCCCACACUCCCUAACUGGAGGCAUCGCAGAGCAAAAUCUCAAAACACUUGUGAACUUCUUCCAAUCCCGCAAGAUCAUGCAAGUAACUGGAAUGACUUGAUCGUUCAAAUUAACAUUCAUGCUAAAAAAAAAGUCCCACAAUUUCACACUACAUCAUCUUCUGAUGGUUUAUAUCCUUGUAGAAGGGAUGUGUGGUUUCAUGUAAAAUAUUUCUACAUAACUGGUCCAUUGUUCCUCACAACAUUGCUUGAUGUGAUCGGAUUUAACAAACCAAGGAUUUAUAGUCUGUGGUCCAUGUCCUAGAGUGUGUCAAGUUUCGUAAUCUACAGGAUGUUGAAUGUGUUUCCUGUUUGGUGCGGUUUGAUAUCUCGCAGUGUGUGGCGCUGUAGUGCAGACGCUUUCGUUGGAAAUUGGGUUUCUGUAAAUAAUGAUAUCUUAUGAAGCUUCAAAACAUGUUGGGAUGGGAGUAGAAGAUUAAUCUGCUCGAAGGAGCCAAUACAAUUUCAAGACCCGAGGAAGAGACAACUAAUUAUCUAUAAGUAUUCGGAAGCAGAUAUCUAAAUUCUGUAUGUGCUUCUGAAAUGAAUCAGAAGCUCCAUAUUUUCCCGACUCAUAACUGGGAUUCUGUAGCUGACAGAAGUUCCCAACCACUGCUGGUUUCUGUUAGGAGUGUUUCCCUCUCCCCCCCCCUGUCUGUGUCUCGUCUGUGUUUCCACUGUCGGUUUAUUUCCAGGCUGGGCGGAGCGGCUUCCAGACUCCCCCCGUCCGGCGAUCGAUGCACACCUGGAACCCAUCUCCAGCCAAUCACCCACACCUGCCAUCCGUUUUAUAAGCCUGGUCCACAUCUAAUUAUUCACCAAUUUGUUGUUAACCCCCCUGUGAUCGCCCUUCUUGGAUUCCUGUUUGUGCCACCCAGCUUGCUCCUGUUGGAUCGUGUUUCUUCUGCUGCCUGCACCUCUUGGUUUCUGCCUUAAACCUUUCACAGUUAAAGAACCUUUACUCCAACUCCAGCCAUUCGUAUGUGUCUGCUUUUGGGGUCUAGAUUUGUGUAUGCAGAGCUCUAACAGUUUCUCCCCUUUCUUCUUCAGAAAAGAAUAAACUGCAUCUACCUUCCAGCUGCUGUCCACCCAGCUCUGUGAGGACGGUUGCAGACUUGAAACAUUCUGUUGAUGCUGCUUUCUGAAUUCUGAGUGAUAAUAUAAUAAACAUGCAGAAUAAUUUAUGCAACCAGGUUGGACUUGGUGAUUGUGUGUGACAUAUAUGUGUGUUUUAUAUAUUUAUAUGUGCCAAAUCAAGAUAAUGACAAAAUUCAAAUAAAGUUAAAUUAGGAGGAUUCACAGUGGAGCAUUUUUGGUUGGUCACGUCAGUGGAAGCUACUCUACGGACCAGCACAUCAAAGAUUUCUACUAAUCCUCCUUCUAUCCCCAGGCUGCACACAGCCAGGCUGGAGAGCUUUUUCAUGGAUUAGAAGAUGCCCCCUUAUCCCCCUUGUCUGACUCUGGUGGUUUCAGGGGUUGCUGUCAGGUCAGGUCAUGGAUGGGUUUUCUUCUCUGGUCACAGACAUUUAACUUUCUCCAUUCUUUUAAGUCAUUAAGUGUGUUUUUAAUAUUUACAUUAGUGUUCAUACAAUUAUUGGCUUAUAGCGAGAACUUGAAGAGACAUUCUUUAUGUUUCAGGUUCAUGCUGUGAAUAAACCAGAGGAGGAAAAGAUUAUCCCUGGUGUCAUGGUUGGUGGCCAGGAGGAAUCUGACGAAGGUUUUAGGACACACUUCAAAAGUGGAGACUAGAGCCGGAGUAUUGGAGCGCCCCGAUCAGGCAGCGCUGUGGACACCUGUCUCACCAGGUAUAUGGAAAAGCAUUAAGAUAGGUUGAGCCAUGGACUGCAAAGCUCAGGUUCCUUUAUCUAACUUUGGCAUCCCACUGGUAAUGUGAUGGUGAUUAUAUGUCAUACAGUGUGUUUGCAUGUGCUCCAUAUAUAAUAAUUUACAUUUAUUAUCCUGCCCACUGCAAGAACAGUGUAGAAUAGAAAGGCCUUACAAAAAGCAUUAGCAUCGAAGAACCACUGCAACUGAGGAGGCAAAAUUCUCUACUAGGCCAGAAUUCCUGACAAAAUGUGAGCAAGAUUAUUCCGGGAUGCAUUGACAUGACUCAUGAAUUUUGGUUCCUGGAGCUGUAGCAUCUUAUGUGGUUGUUGCUUACGAUCAUUCUCCCAGUGCUGCCAUUUCACCUGUGCACUGUCUCCUAGUGUGAUUCCACAGUCAGCCCUGUUGAAUGAACAAGAAAGCCACAGAUCAGUGCUGUAAUUUUGCUGUUGCUGCUGUUUCUGCCACCUGGUGUUAGAUACUGUCACCCUACUGUUGCAGCUAGACUCUAGCUGCUAGAGUAUACAGUGGUAUGAGAAAGUUUAGGCACCCCCUCUGAGGUUGUGUAAUAAUGGACUCUGACUUCACACAAAAUUAUCUUGGUGGCAUGUCCUUCAUUUGCCCAUAAGUGCCAAGUGUUAGCUUGAUUUCCAAACACAGAUUUUAAGUAUUCAUAGUAUGCAAUUGUAUGAAAUUAAAUCAAAUGUAUAAAAUAGGCUGUGCAAAAAUGUGGGAACCCUUGUCAUUUUUUCUGCUUUGAUGGCCUGCAACUUAUCAUCACAAGAUAAUUGGACACACAAAGUUGGUUUGGUGAGCUCGUUAAGCCUUGAACUUAAUCGACAGUUGCAUCCAAUAAUGUCAA